This 252-nucleotide ribosomal RNA is filed under the name uncultured bacterium. RNAcentral's name for it is "partial 16S ribosomal RNA". It matches the Rfam family "Bacterial small subunit ribosomal RNA", at positions 524 to 776 of the family's 1533-position model. The record is from RNAcentral.
UACAUGGGGUGCAAACGUUGCUCGGAAUUAUUGGGCGUAAAGCGCACGUAGGCGGAUUCGUAAGUCAGGGUGAAAUCCCGGGGCUCAACCUCGGAACUGCCUUUGAUACUGCGGGUCUUGAGUCCGAUAGAGGUGGGUGGAAUUCCUAGUGUAGAGGUGAAAUUCGUAGAUAUUAGGAAGAACACCGGUGGCGAAGGCGGCCCACUGGAUCGGUACUGACGCUGAGGUGCGAAAGCGUGGGGAGCAAACAGG